UCCAAUUUUGAUUUAGACAGGCGUGCUUUUCAUGAGCCGUACUUAAUAAUUUGCGCUGCUUCACUUCGAAACCUGGGGCGAGUGACAUUUCAUAAUAAGAAAAAAGGGUUUAUCACGUACAAUUUUGGCAUUUCUGAGCGUCUACAGGUUUGCGGUUAUUAAAAAUUUCAACUGCUUUUUGAAAAGCCUUAUUACUACAAACAUAGCAUAAUGCCUGGAUAUAAUGUGUGGGAAAACGAGACCUAUAGGCUUCGGGCGAGUUUUUCCACGUUAUUCGAGUUCUCCCAAACUACUACAAGUGUUUCUAUAACUGUAUGGGUCACACAUAAUA
Non-coding RNA from Paramuricea clavata, 331 nucleotides. The record is from the annotation of a GenBank genome assembly. NCBI's taxonomy places the organism in Eukaryota, Metazoa, Cnidaria, Anthozoa, Malacalcyonacea, Plexauridae.